RNAcentral lists this ribosomal RNA (256 nucleotides) under uncultured bacterium. Its description in RNAcentral is "partial 16S ribosomal RNA". It matches the Rfam family "Bacterial small subunit ribosomal RNA", at positions 521 to 776 of the family's 1533-position model. The record is from RNAcentral.
UAAAACGUAGGAGGCGAGCGUUAUCCGGAUUUACUGGGCGUAAAGCGCGUGCAGGUGGUUUAGUAAGUUGGAUGUGAAAGCUCCUGGCUUAACUGGGAGAGGUCGUUCAAAACUACUAGACUUGAGGAUGGGAGAGGGAAUCGGAAUUCCGGGUGUAGUGGUGAAAUGCGUAGAUAUCCGGAGGAACACCAGUGGCGAAAGCGGAUUCCUGGCCCAUCUCUGACACUCAGACGCGAAAGCUAGGGUAGCAAACGGG